This 369-nucleotide ribosomal RNA is filed under the name uncultured phototrophic eukaryote. RNAcentral describes it as "SSU rRNA". It matches the Rfam family "Bacterial small subunit ribosomal RNA", at positions 524 to 896 of the family's 1533-position model. The record is from RNAcentral.
UACGGGGGAUGCAAGCGUUAUCCGGAAUCAUUGGGCGUAAAGCGCCUGUAGGUUGUUUAAUAAGUCUGUUGUUAAAGCCUAGGGCUUAACCCUAGAAAAGCAAUGGAAACUAUUAGACUAGAGUAUGGUAGGGGUAGAGGGAAUUUCUAGUGUAGCGGUGAAAUGCGUAGAUAUUAGAAAGAACACCGGUGGCGAAAGCGCUCUACUGGACCAUUACUGACACUCAGAGGCGAAAGCUAGGGUAGCAAAAGGGAUUAGAUACCCCUGUAGUCCUAGCCGUAAACGAUGGAUACUAGAUGUUGUGCAUUAAGGACAGUAUCGUAGCUAACGCGUUAAGUAUCCCGCCUGGGGAGUACGCUCGCAAGGGUG